RNAcentral lists this ribosomal RNA (465 nucleotides) under uncultured bacterium. RNAcentral describes it as "partial 16S ribosomal RNA". It matches the Rfam family "Bacterial small subunit ribosomal RNA", at positions 28 to 507 of the family's 1533-position model. The record is from RNAcentral.
GACGAACGCUGGCGGCGUGCUUAACACAUGCAAGUCGAACGGAAAGGCCCUGCUUGCAGGGUACUCGCGUGGCGAACGGGUGAGUAACACGUGGGUGGUCUGCCCUGCACUUCGGGAUAAGCCUGGGCAACUGGGUGUAAUACCGGAUAGGAGCCAUUUUUAGUGUGAUGGUUGGAAAGUUUUUUCGGUGUAGGAUGAGCUCGCGGCCUAUCAGCUUGCUGGUGGGGUAAUGGCCUACCAAGGCGGCGACGGGUAGCCGGCCUGAGAGGGUGGACGGCCACAUUGGGACUGUGAGGCGGCACAGACUGCGACGGGAGGGAGAAGGGGGGAAGAUUGAAGAAGGGGCGCAAGGCGGAUGCAGCGACGCCGCGUGGGGGAUGACGGCCUUCUGGUGGUAGACUCCAUUCGCUAGGGACGAAGCUUGUUGUGACGGUACCUAGAUAAGAAGCACCGGCUAACUACGUG